ACGGUCCAGACUCCUACGGGAGGCAGCAGUAGGGAAUCUUCGGCAAUGGACGCAAGUCUGACCGAGCAACGCCGCGUGAGUGAAGAAGGUUUUCGGAUCGUAAAACUCUGUUGUUAGAGAAGAACAAGGAUGAGAGUAAAAUGUUCAUCCCUUAACGGUAUCUAACCAGAAAGCCACGGCUAACUACGUGCCAGCAGCCGCGGUAA
Molecule: ribosomal RNA, 206 nt
Filed under: uncultured eubacterium PS08
Lineage: Bacteria
Description: partial 16S ribosomal RNA
Rfam family: Bacterial small subunit ribosomal RNA
Source: RNAcentral